GCAUGCAGGUGAGAAGGGAAGAUACGUGUAAUCUGCACGUCUGCCACCAUUCCUUGUUACUCCUUUUUCGUAUCCCAUGAGCACAGCACUCCAGCGGACCUACCCAAAAUAUAUAGGAGUUCAGUGAAACUCAAACAGCACACUUCUGGUCAGCCUAUACAGUUUCUGUCCUGGUGAGGAGCAUGGUUACCAACAGGCAAGAUCUUCUGGCCUUGAAGUUUCACUUGAGUUAAAAGAGCUCAUCUCAGGACUUUCUGAAUUUUCAGCCCAUAUGACAUGGAAGAAGAGUUAGAAGGGGAAUCUGACUGCUUGGAUCAGGGACUGUCUGGCUGGUGGAACUUGAAUAGAUGUACAGUGCACCACUUUGAGGAUCAAGUCUGACCCUGCCUUUAAAUUUGGAUUCGAAGUACUUAGAUUUUCUGGAAUCCCAUUCUACAAUCUUCUGGUCGAAAGUAUAAAACCAG
This 464-nucleotide non-coding RNA is filed under the name Pongo abelii (Sumatran orangutan). The record is from RNAcentral. Lineage: Eukaryota; Metazoa; Chordata; Mammalia; Primates; Hominidae.